This is a non-coding RNA of Meleagris gallopavo (turkey), 673 nucleotides long. The record is from RefSeq and is a predicted model, not a curated record. Lineage: Eukaryota; Metazoa; Chordata; Aves; Galliformes; Phasianidae.
CUCUUCUGGCCUUUUAGGGAUGACUUAAAAGUUUUAUAUUCCUCUACAGGGAGGAGACAGUGUAAAGAAUUAAAGAACACAUGUCAGAGCAAGAACUGAAAUUUGGCAGGAGAAACAUUGAACUUCACACUCCCAAAACCUCACAGGAAUCGUCCAAGAGCUUACUGAAUUCAAGGGAAUUUUUGGCUGGCUUCAAUGUGCAUUGGAACAAACCCAGAGGGACUCUGUUCAGCAAAAUACUUAGGUGGAUUUUACUUCAGGCACGAGCUUAAUGAGACUUCAGCAGGAAAGAUAUUCUUGAUGGAGAAAGUGGAGAAAAUUAGAGGUAAAGCUGGAGCAUCAAGAUAGGUUAAAAUCCCAAACCUGGCUUCAGAAUUCAAAUCCCUGUCUGGCUUCAAAAAUCAAACCUUAAUCUACAGUCUGAAAUCUGAGGUCUGAGGACACAGCAUUUGGAAAUGGUGCGUGCAAGGGGGCAGGAAUCAGAAGCACUCAAGCUGUGGACUGCACUGAGGCAGAAACCAGCAGUUGCGACAAUAUCUUGGCAAGCAGGAAGCUGCUAAAGAUGACAGUGCGGGACUAAAAAAGAAUGAGAGGCCAUGGAGCACAGUCAUGGGUUGACAUCUCCAAAAAAGCCCAGAACAAAGCCUGGAAGCUUAAAAUCUCAAGACUAGCU